GCGGCUUAACAUGCAGUCGACGCGUGUAGCAAUACACGAGUGGCGCACGGGUGAGUAACGCGUGGAUAUCUGCCUUUUGGUUCGGAAUAACCCCGGGAAACUGGGGCUAAUACCGGAUGGUUCCUUCGGGAUAAAGAUUUAUCGCCAAAAGAUGAGUCCGCGUACGAUUAGCUAGUUGGUGAGGUAAUGGCUCACCAAGGCGACGAUCGUUAGCUGGUCUGAGAGGACGAUCAGCCACACUGGGACUGAGACACGGCCCACACUCCUACGGGAGGCAGCAGUGGGAAUAUUGGACAAUGGGGGCAACCCUGAUCCAGCCAUGCCGCGUGAGUGAUGAAGGCCUUCGGGUUGUAAAGCUCUUUUGGCGGGGACGAUGAUGACGGUACCCGCAGAAUAAGCCCCGGCUAACUUCGUGCCAGCAGCCGCGGUAAGACGAAGGGGGCUAGCGUUGUUCGGAAUUACUGGGCGUAAAGCGCGUGUAGGCGGUUAUCCAAGUCGGGUGUGAAAGCCUUGAGCUCAACUCAAGAAAUGCACUCGGUAUUGGGUGACUAGAGGACCGGAGAGGAUAGUGGAAUUCCCAGUGUAGUGGUGAAAUACGUAGAGAUUGGGAAGAACACCAGUGGCGAAGGCGGCUAUCUGGACGGCUUCUGACGCUAAGACGCGAAAGCGUGGGGAGCAAACAGGAUUAGAUACCCUGGUAGUCCACGCCGUAACGAUGGGUGCUAGACGUUGGCGGGCUUGCUCGUCAGUGUCGCAGCUAACGCGUUAAGCACCCCGCCUGGGGAGUACGGCCGCAAGGUUG
RNAcentral lists this ribosomal RNA (802 nucleotides) under uncultured Alphaproteobacteria bacterium. Its description in RNAcentral is "bacterial SSU rRNA". It matches the Rfam family "Bacterial small subunit ribosomal RNA", at positions 42 to 896 of the family's 1533-position model. The record is from RNAcentral. Lineage: Bacteria; Pseudomonadati; Pseudomonadota; Alphaproteobacteria.